GUUGAAACACCGGUUCCCAUACAAUCACUGAAGUUAAGCAACAUCAAGCUUGGUCAGUACCUAGGUCAGUGAUUGCUUAGGAAUAUCAGGUGCUGUGAG
This is a non-coding RNA of Acanthosepion pharaonis, 99 nucleotides long. The record is from the annotation of a GenBank genome assembly. Lineage: Eukaryota; Metazoa; Mollusca; Cephalopoda; Sepiida; Sepiidae.